This 888-nucleotide unclassified non-coding RNA is filed under the name Hevea brasiliensis (rubber tree). Lineage: Eukaryota; Viridiplantae; Streptophyta; Magnoliopsida; Malpighiales; Euphorbiaceae. The record is from RNAcentral.
GAGUGAAGUAGUCUCCUCUUGGGUGGAAUGGAAGGAUUGGAAGGGAUAAUAGAGAGGCUUUUGGAAGGAAGGAAUAACAGAGGGAAACGCAUUCACCUUACUGAACCUGAAAUCAGAAACCUUUGUCUCACUGCCAAGCAAGUCUUCCUCGCUCAGCCUGUUCUUCUUGAGCUAGAAGCUCCCAUCAACAUUUGUGGUAUAUGAAAUCCACUUUCAUUCUCUUCCUUGAUUCCCUGAUUGUUCCCUUUUUCUCUUGUCUUGUUCAUAUGUUCAUCUAUUUCAUUGUUACUCUGAGGGUUCUCUUGCUCCUUUGCCUGUUUCGUUUGUUUCCCUUAUAUGAUUAUCUCGUAGGAAAUGCUUUAAAAAUUGAACUGCAUAUGGCAGAUUUGGGCCUGGGACUCCCGAGCCUUUUGUUCUAGGGCUUUCAAGCCUCCAAAAUAUAUUGAAAUCAUGGGAAAGUAUGAAGCAACUGUGUGCUGUUGUCCAUCAAUUUUUGCUUGAUAGCUGUAUUUCUUGGUUGUUCGAGUAAAAGGUCGAAGCAUUGAAUCUACAAACUUACCUGUAAUUACUUGCAUUCUGAACAAUAAACUUACUAAUUUAGCCAAUCCCAAUUCAUGACUUGAUACUUGCAUGCUUUACUCGCUAAUUCAACUAAUAAUUUAGACAAAUGCGAGAAUUUGAUUAUGAAGACUCCCAAUAUCCAAGCACAGUGCCACAGAAGUCAUGUCUUUACAAGAAUUAAAUGUCAUUAAUGUUCCAUGUGAAGCACCACCCCAUCAAGAAUGAUAAAUGGGUAGUUUUGAUACUUAAUAAUCUGUAAUUGCUUGCUACUAUCUGGAAUUUGUCUUGGAUAUGCAGGUGACAUACACGGCCAAUAUCCAGAUCUCU